UGGAGAUAGGUGGGGUUCUCUCUUGUCUCGCUCCAGCCUCAGCCUUAGACAAGCCCUGCGCAAAGGGUGGAACUUUCUCGGCCGUCCUGCCGCUUCUCCCUGUGGCAGCUGAACUCUGCCUGUAUCUGUUGUUGGUCUUGCCUGAGAAUUUCUUGCCCAAGAGAUUUUACACCUACUUUUUCCAGAAUAAAUGGAUCUUUGUGCACUAGGGGCAAGAGGGUGUUUUAUCUCUCCGCAGGUAGCUCAAGGCUUAACUUGGCAGGAGAGAAGUUUCCGUGAAAGUCGGCAGGUUUUUUCCUGUUCUCCACAGCCGCUGAGGAUCUGCUCCAUACCUGUUUCAUCGAGGGGCAUUCUCUCUGAUUUCCUGCCCUGCCCCCAUCCUUUCCCAUGAGCGCCUGGAGAGGCAAACAAGAGCUCGAGAGAGAAGGAUAAAGUUUAGUAAGCAGCUUCAUUUUGAAUAACAGCGAAACUGAGACCUGCUAGAACAAGGGUCAUCUGUGUCAUGCUGAGUAUCACGUGGGGAUCCCUAUUCCCCAAGAGCUGAGAUUGACGAUGCGUGUGUAAGUAACACAGAGGUGCAUGAAGAAGCAAAAUUCAGAGAAUAACACUUUUAGUAUUGGGUAAUUUUGUGUCUUUCUUUCUUUUUUUUUGAUAGUUCUGAAAGUAAAAAUGCUGAUGCACAAAGAGUGAUGGUGGUGUGUGCUGUGUGUUUGUGUGUGUGUGUUUUCAGAGAAUCUGAAGGUAUUGAAGCUAUUGCCAUGUCACAAUGAAGAGGAUGAGGUAUUGUUUUUAGAACUCGUUAUGCUGAACUCAUUAACAGUAGCCGUUGCAGCCAGCACCAGCCUGCUUAGCAAAGGAGCUGGUGUGUAUGAUUCCUUGGCAAGUCUUUACAGCCUGCAUAUUAGUUAUUUGAAAUGAUUUUGUCAUAUUUUUCCUUCUGCUUACCUCAGACACACAACAUGUACACACACACACACACAAACACACAAGCUGAUCUGUAAAUCAUUUCAA
Molecule: long non-coding RNA, 1011 nt
Filed under: Equus caballus (horse)
Lineage: Eukaryota; Metazoa; Chordata; Mammalia; Perissodactyla; Equidae
Description: lncRNA (ENSECAG00000028957.2)
Source: RNAcentral